CACGUAGGGGGCAAGCGUUGUCCGGAUUUAUUGGGCGUAAAGAGCUCGUAGGCGGCUUAGUAAGUCGGGUGUGAAACCUCCAGGCUCAACCUGGAGACGCCACCCGAUACUGCUGUGGCUAGAGUCCGGUAGGGGAGCGUGGAAUUCCUGGUGUAGCGGUGAAAUGCGCAGAUAUCAGGAGGAACACCAAUGGCGAAGGCAGCUCGCUGGAACGGUACUGACGCUGAGGCGCGAAAGCGUGGGGAGCAAACAGG
This 254-nucleotide ribosomal RNA is filed under the name uncultured bacterium. RNAcentral describes it as "partial 16S ribosomal RNA". It matches the Rfam family "Bacterial small subunit ribosomal RNA", at positions 524 to 776 of the family's 1533-position model. The record is from RNAcentral.